Molecule: ribosomal RNA, 253 nt
Filed under: uncultured bacterium
Lineage: Bacteria
Description: partial 16S ribosomal RNA
Rfam family: Bacterial small subunit ribosomal RNA
Source: RNAcentral
GACAGAGGUGCCAAGCGUUAGGCGGAAUCACUGGGCUUAAAGGGCGCGUAGGCGGGUCCGCAAGUCGAUCGUGAAAUCCUUCGGCUCAACUGAAGGGGGUCGGUCGAUACUGCGGGUCUUGAGGGAUGCAGAGGAGACUGGAAUUCCACGUGUAGCAGUGAAAUGCGUAGAGAUGUGGAGGAACACCGAUAGCGAAGGCAGCCUCCUGGGCCAGCACUGACGCUCAUGCACGAAAGCGUGGGGAGCAAACAGG